RNAcentral lists this ribosomal RNA (117 nucleotides) under Periophthalmus magnuspinnatus. The record is from RNAcentral. Lineage: Eukaryota; Metazoa; Chordata; Actinopteri; Gobiiformes; Gobiidae.
AUAAGUGGCCAAAUGUCUUUGUAAAAAGCUUGAUUUCGUCAGUUCUUAGAAGCUAAGGAAGGCUGGGUCUGAUUAGUACUUGGAUGGCAGACUGCUGGGAAUAUCACAUGUCUUAUU